Molecule: ribosomal RNA, 600 nt
Filed under: uncultured bacterium
Lineage: Bacteria
Description: bacterial SSU rRNA
Rfam family: Bacterial small subunit ribosomal RNA
Source: RNAcentral
AGUUUGAUCCUGGCUCAGAUUGAACGCUGGCGGCAUGCCUUACACAUGCAAGUCGAACGGCAGCGCGGGGCAACCUGGCGGCGAGUGGCGAACGGGUGAAUAAUAUAUCGGAACGUACCCUGGAGUGGGGGAUAACGUAACGAAAGUUACGCUAAUACCGCAUACGAUCUAAGGAUGAGGGUGGGGGAUCGCAAGACCUCUUGCUCCUGGAGCGGCCGAUAUCUGAUUAGCUAGUUGGGGGGGUAAAGGCCUACCAAGGCAUCGAUCAGUAGCUGGUCUGAGAGGACCACCCCCCACACUGGAACUGAGACACGGUCCACACUCCUACGGGAGGCAGCAGUGGGGAAUUUUGGACGAUGGGCGCAAGCCUGAUCCAGCAAUGCCGCGUGAGUGAAGAAGGCCUUCGGGUUGUAAAUCUCUUUUGUCAAGAAAAAAACGGUGAGGGCUAAUAUCUUUUGCUAAUGACGGUACCUAAAAAAUAAGCACCGGCUAACUACGUGCCAGCAGCCGCGGUAAUACGUAGGGUGCAAGCGUUAAUCGGAAUUACUGGGCGUAAAGCGUGCGCAGGCUGUUUUGUAAGUCUGUCGUAACACUCCCCGG